AAAUGGAACAGCUAGUUUAACCAGCCUACUUUUGACCUAGACAUGACACACCUCUUAGCUAAACCUCAAACAAAAACUCAAAUAUUAUGUGUUGCUAGAACUUCAAAUCUAAACAAUUUUACUCAUCUGAAUGAGGUUUUAAAACCCAUACCAAGUCCUGCAGGUUUUUGAAAUGACUACACCAGAAUCGGAAUAGGUCAUAAACAACCUGAUAUUUGAGCUGAUUUCACCUGAGGCCACUGAGCCACCAGACUCAAGUGUCCUUCCAUUCGAUCAGAGACAGAUAAUUAGGCGAGCUGGGCUGCUUCUCUCUCGCCCACUGCUGAAUUCUUUCUCUCCUCAAGAAACUUUCUCCUGGUUGCUUUGGGGCCUCUAGGACAAGGAGUGUCAAGACCCCUCCCAUCUCAUCCUGUCGUUUUCCUCUCACGGCUCCGCUGCCCACCGGCCCUCACUGCCAAGCCCCUUCUGUCACCAGCUCAUAUCUCUGAAAACACAACACUCCCUCUACGUCCAAAUUCAGGCUUUAGGAACUGGUGGAAGUGGGGGAUUCCGAAAGGCCCGGGAGGGGGCUUGGCUGCCUGGAGAAGGGGCCCAGGGAAACUUGGAAGCAAGGCCGGAAUGAGUCAAUCAGUCAGCAAGUAUUUAUUUAGUGCUAGGCAGCUUGGGGGAUACAGAGAAAUUAUAAGACGCCAUCCGGUCCCUGGCUGGAUUUCUGGCCGAGUUCCCCGCAUAAGAACCCGGCCCCGAGCUGGGGACUGCCCAGCCCAUGGAAGGCUGCCACGGCCCCAAGACUGGCUACCCGGCCGAGCAGCCGCGGGGGCGGCUAAGAGAAGGAGCUGGGAACCACCGGCCGAGUCCCUGUCCCAGCAAUGCCGCACGCCACCAGCAAGUCAUGUCAUCGCUCUGGACUUCUGCUUCCUCACGUGUAAAAUGGGAAUAAUACCAGCACUGGCCCAGUCCACGUGUGGCAAGGUAGUGACAAGUUGGUGCAUGGACAGUGUCAGCCCAGGGCCGGGCACGUAGUACGCUCAACAAAUGUGAGGUCUUAUUAGGAGGCGGUGGUUGCAUUAGACAGUAAAAGGAGGUGUGUUCUGGAAGCACUUUCUACCCUGCCUCACCUCCUCAUGACCACCUUUUCCUCCAGUCUUUGCUGUGGCAGCUGCCUAACCCAGGUGAACCUGAGAUAGCUUCUCUCACACUCUGCCCUGGGCCUCCUCUGACAAGGUGGGGACAGUAGGGGACCUCCUGCAAGCUCCUUUUGUGGUCCUGGGAGUGGGAGAGAGUUAACACCCGUGGGGACCCUUGGCCAGCAGGGGAAGGAGCUGCUGGAGAAAGACUCCCCCCUCCUUUCCUUCAGGUGUACAAUUCUGAGCUGUGUUCCACAUGGCUCCUCCAAAGGUCUGGCUAGAUGGGAUCAAGCCCCACCAUAGAGGCUGGCUUGAACACACCCUCUAUUUGCUUUCCCUCUGCCCCUGUUGCACUCUCCCUACUCCUCACACCUGUUUCCUGGGACAACUCUCCAGAAUGAACUACCCUGUCUUAGACUCAGCUUUUUGUGGGGGAAUGUGGAGGGCAGUAGGGUACAAAGAAGUGGUAUAGGACAAUGGCCAAUAGUUGGGUCAGACUUGGGCUGGAACCCUGGCUCUCCCUGGCACUGGCUGGGUGACAGAAACCAAGUGUCUCUGAGCCUGUGUCUCACCAUCAGUAAAAGGGGGUACUGACCUUAUGCAGUUGUUUUGAAGAUUGGAGGAAAUAAUGCAUAGAAAGUGUUUAGCCUGUGCCUGGUGCAGAGAGCUGGGUCCUCCAGAAACAGAACCUGAGACCAGGAUUCAUGGGAAAGUGAGUUAUUGGGAGGCAAACCCAGAAAAAGCCAGAGGGAAGUGGAAAAGGGAGGGGAAGCUAAGCCGGGAUAUCAAGCAGUCACACCAAGGGUAAUUUUGGCUGAAUCCCCCCCAGGGACAAUGGAGACAAGGUGGACACAUCUCAGAGGGAGCCAGUAUCUCAGUGCAGUCAGGCAGAGGGACUCCAGAGGGCUGAGGGCAGCUGCCCACAAGGAGUCUCAGGUGCAGGCUGUUCGGAGUGAAUGCACACUAGGAGCUGUGUGCAAGAAAGUGAUAAAGGGUGGAAGUGAUAAUGGGAUCCAAGGAAGUAUGGUGGGCACUGACCACAUCAGCCACAGCCUACUCAUGGUGGGAUCGUUAGGGUUGUUAUACUUUUGUUUUCUAGAAAAGCCUUCCUCAGUAAUAGAAAAGCCAGGCUUUAGAGCAUGCGAAGCACCAGUUUCCCCAACUCCCUCGAGCCUUUCCUUCCUGG
Molecule: long non-coding RNA, 2313 nt
Organism: Equus caballus (horse)
Lineage: Eukaryota; Metazoa; Chordata; Mammalia; Perissodactyla; Equidae
Source: Ensembl